Molecule: ribosomal RNA, 207 nt
Filed under: uncultured bacterium
Lineage: Bacteria
Description: partial 16S ribosomal RNA
Rfam family: Bacterial small subunit ribosomal RNA
Source: RNAcentral
CGCGUAGGCUGUUGAGUAAGUCAAAUGUGAAAUCCCCGGGCUUAACCUGGGAACUGCAUUCGAUACUGCUUAACUAGAGUAUGGUAGAGGGAAGUGGAAUUCCGGGUGUAGCGGUGAAAUGCGUAGAUAUCCGGAGGAACACCAGUGGCGAAGGCGACUUCCUGGGCCAAUACUGACGCUGGGGUGCGAAAGCGUGGGGAGCAAACA